Molecule: unclassified non-coding RNA, 349 nt
Filed under: soil metagenome
Description: partial contains 5.8S ribosomal RNA, internal transcribed spacer 2, and large subunit ribosomal RNA
Rfam family: 5.8S ribosomal RNA (bases 1-121)
Source: RNAcentral
GAUGAAGAACGCAGUGAAAUGCGAUAAGUAAUGCGAAUUGCAGAAUUUCCGUGAGUCAUCGAAUCUUUGAACGCACAUUGCGCCCGCCAGUAUUCUGGCGGGCAUGCCUGUCUGAGCGUCAUUUCAACCCUCAUGCCCCUAGGGCGUGGUGUUGGGGAUCGGCCAAAGCCCGCGAGGGACGGCCGGCCCCUAAAUCUAGUGGCGGACCCGUCGUGGCCUCCUCUGCGAAGUAGUGAUAUUCCGCAUCGGAGAGCGACGAGCCCCUGCCGUUAAACCCCCAACUUUCCAAGGUUGACCUCAGAUCAGGUAGGAAUACCCGCUGAACUUAAGCAUAUCAAUAAGCGGAGGA